Molecule: ribosomal RNA, 416 nt
Filed under: uncultured prokaryote
Description: bacterial SSU rRNA
Rfam family: Bacterial small subunit ribosomal RNA
Source: RNAcentral
GUGCCAGCAGCCGCGGUAAUACGUAGGGUGCAAGCGUUGUCCGGAAUUAUUGGGCGUAAAGAGCUCGUAGGCGGUCUGUCGCGUCGGCUGUGAAAACCCGAGGCUCAACCUCGGGCCUGCAGUCGAUACGGGCAAACUAGAGUGUUGCAGGGGAGACUGGAAUUCCUGGUGUAGCGGUGAAAUGCGCAGAUAUCAGGAGGAACACCGGUGGCGAAGGCGGGUCUCUGGGCAACAACUGACGCUUAGGAGCGAAAGCGUGGGGGGCGAACAGGAUUAGAUACCCUGGUAGUCCACGCCGUAAACGUUGGGCGCUAGGUGUGGGGGCCAUUCCACGGUCUCCGUGCCGCAGCUAACGCAUUAAGCGCCCCGCCUGGGGAGUACGGCCGCAAGGCUAAAACUCAAAUGAAUUGACGGGG